This is a long non-coding RNA of Ursus americanus (American black bear), 2037 nucleotides long. NCBI's taxonomy places the organism in Eukaryota, Metazoa, Chordata, Mammalia, Carnivora, Ursidae. The record is from Ensembl.
CCCGUCCGCAGUCCCGUCACCCCGAGGAGACCCCGUCCCCGUCCGCAGUCCCGUCACCCCGAGGAGACCCCGUCCCCGUCCGCAGUCCCGUCACCCCGAGGAGACCCCGUCCCUGGGGUCCCACCGCCCGGACGGGUCAGGCCGCAGAGGGAAAGGGGGGCAGGCUGGUCAGGAGCUCGGAAGUCGGGGUGCGUCUGGGAAGGAGGGGCAGCCGACGGCACCGGUCCGCACUGCCGCGCGUCCUCGGCCCUCCCAUCUGUUCUUUUUCUGAAGAAAGCUCCGUAGAGGAGCGGCCCAGACAGCAGGUGCGGAGCAGAUGGAGCCCGCGCCCGUGCCGGCUCCCAGAAGCCCCCAUACUCUCUGUCCCUGAAAAGGCAAGUUGGAUUUUUUUCAUGUCUUUUCUUGUAUCGUCACCUCAAAUACAAGCCAGUGUGAUACAUAAGUAAAAUGUUCUUGGUAUUUUGAUAAGUGUGUUUAAUUUUUUAAAAAACAGACUGUAGCGAGUUAAGCCACUUACCCAUGCACAAAAUUAGGAGUGAAGCCAGGAUUAUGUGUUACUCAGAAAUGCAAUCAGCCACUUAACGCCGCAUUAGAUGCUGACACCCCAAAAACAUCCACAUUUCCUCUGGAACCCACUGCAGGCUUACAAGGUUAAGAAGAACAACGCUCAUUGUAUUGUGAUUUAUAGCAUCGCGUUCCGUAUAUUUAUGUUCACCAUGUGCUGUUUUUAUUCUAAACAUGCUUGUUUUUAAUUUUGUAAAUGCCCUAGUGCCAGUAUCUGGGAUUCAGGGAGUAAAUUUUCACCCUAAGACAAUGUGGAGUACUCAGGGUCUGGAGUCAGACUGCCAAAUCUGUCUCCUCCCAGCUCUGUGCCCUUGUGAAAAUUACUGUCUUUUCAAACCGUGGGUUUUAUCAUUUGUACAAUGAGGACGUUACUAGUACUCACCUCCCAGAUUGUUAUAGGAUUAAAUGAGAUAAUUUGUGUGCUUACGACACAGCAAAUACUCCGGAAAUGCUGGCUCUUAUAUUUAUUACUUCCACAUAACUAAUUACAUCGAUUUUGUGCUUGAGAACAUGGACAAGUUAUCUUGCUUUUUAAAACUUUAAAAUUCAUUUUCAUAAGUAUAAAAUAUAAAAUUAUUUUAUGUUUACUUGCCCUAUUUAGAAUUUUUAUUUGCUUAUUUAUUUAUUUGACAGAGAGAGAGAGAGAGAGCACAAGCAGGCAGAGUAGCAAGCAGAGGGAGGAGGAAGGUUUCCCGCCAAGCAAGAAGCCGCAUGCAGGGCUCGUGACCUGAGCCGAAGGCAGUUGCUCAACCAACUGAGCCACCCAGGUGCCCCUACUUGCCCUAUUUAACUACGUGUUCACCUUUUUUAAAAAGCGAAUUCUUUCAUUUUUUUAAACUAAUAUUAUUAAUGGCUAUCAAGAUGUUCGGCUGACAAAUAUUUUAUGUAAUCUGCAUGCUCAGCUCAAAUUCAGGCACUGGUUGACGUUAAAAUUUUUAAGUAUCGUUACUUUUACAGUAUACAUCUGUGCUUAAAAUUCAGUAAAAAACUGUAAUAUAUUCUUGGGCUCACAGCACAUGACAACUAAUGAUUGGGAACUUUCAUUUUCAACGACUUUAUCCUCGGACAAUUCACUUAGAGUGUAUGAUAAAACUUUUAAUUUCACCAAGAGAUUGCCACACAAGUGAGGAAAAAAUUUUUUAAAAUGCUGAAAAGGACAUGUCCCUGUGCUUCACAGAAUUUACAAAAUGAAAUCUCAGGAAAAAUGUUGUGAUUAAUAUACAAAGAGAACCCGUGGUGUGCAAAAAUGAUAAAUAGGUGGAAAACUAAUGAGGGAAAUACUAUUUUCAGCUCCUUUACAUUUCAGCCAAUCUGUUAUUGAUCAUCUACAGCUCAAAGUAGGAAAAUAUUGUCUUAUUUACAUGAGUCUUUCCAAAGUAAAGUGCUUUAUAGUAGAAUAACACCUUUAAUUAAUAUUCUGUUUAGUUGAGGCUUCUAUCUACCAGCAAUAAAAGGUAAGUUUUCAUUGCUUCA